RNAcentral lists this ribosomal RNA (592 nucleotides) under Bacillus sp. CH41a_1T. RNAcentral's name for it is "bacterial SSU rRNA". It matches the Rfam family "Bacterial small subunit ribosomal RNA", at positions 56 to 632 of the family's 1533-position model. Lineage: Bacteria; Bacillati; Bacillota; Bacilli; Caryophanales; Bacillaceae. The record is from RNAcentral.
UGCAGUCGAGCGAAUGAUGAGGAGCUUGCUCCUCUGAUUUAGCGGCGGACGGGUGAGUAACACGUGGGUAAUCUGCCUGUAAGACGGGGAUAACUCCGGGAAACCGGGGCUAAUACCGGAUAAUAAGAGAAGAAGCAUUUCUUCUUUUUGAAAGUCGGUUUCGGCUGACACUUACAGAUGAGCCCGCGGCGCAUUAGCUAGUUGGUGAGGUAACGGCUCACCAAGGCGACGAUGCGUAGCCGACCUGAGAGGGUGAUCGGCCACACUGGGACUGAGACACGGCCCAGACUCCUACGGGAGGCAGCAGUAGGGAAUCUUCGGCAAUGGGCGAAAGCCUGACCGAGCAACGCCGCGUGAGCGAUGAAGGCCUUCGGGUCGUAAAGCUCUGUUGUUAGAGAAGAACAAGUACGAGAGUAACUGCUCGUACCUUGACGGUACCUAACCAGAAAGCCACGGCUAACUACGUGCCAGCAGCCGCGGUAAUACGUAGGUGGCAAGCGUUAUCCGGAAUUAUUGGGCGUAAAGCGCGCGCAGGCGGUCUCUUAAGUCUGAUGUGAAAGCCCACGGCUCAACCGUGGAGGGUCAUUGGAAA